GAUGAACGCUAGCGGCAGGCUUAAUACAUGCAAGUCGUGGGGCAGCGCAGGUAGCAAUACUGGGCGGCGACCGGCAAACGGGUGCGGAACACGUACACAACCUUCCGAGAAGUGGGGAAUAGCCCAGAGAAAUUUGGAUUAAUACCCCGUAACAUAACGAUGUGGCAUCACAUUGUUAUUAUAGCUUCGGCGCUUCUUGAUGGGUGUGCGGCUGAUUAGAUAGUUGGCGGGGUAACGGCCCACCAAGUCUACGAUCAGUAGCUGAUGUGAGAGCAUGAUCAGCCACACGGGCACUGAGACACGGGGCCCGACUCCUACGGGAGGCAGCAGUAAGGAUAUUGGUCAAUGGACGCAAGUCUGACCAGCCAUGCCGCGUGAAGGAUUAAGGUCCUCUGGAUUGUAAACUUCUUUAUCUGGCGAAAAAGGCGAUUCUUCGUCACUUGACGGUACCAGAUGAAUAAGCACCGGUCUAACUCCGUGCCAGCAG
This 487-nucleotide ribosomal RNA is filed under the name uncultured bacterium. RNAcentral's name for it is "bacterial SSU rRNA". It matches the Rfam family "Bacterial small subunit ribosomal RNA", at positions 28 to 514 of the family's 1533-position model. The record is from RNAcentral.